This 1346-nucleotide ribosomal RNA is filed under the name uncultured bacterium. Its description in RNAcentral is "partial 16S ribosomal RNA". It matches the Rfam family "Bacterial small subunit ribosomal RNA", at positions 28 to 1381 of the family's 1533-position model. The record is from RNAcentral.
GACGAACGCUGGCGGCGUGCUUAACACAUGCAAGUCGAACGGAAAGGCCCUGCUUUUGUGGGGUGCUCGAGUGGCGAACGGGUGAGUAACACGUGAGUAACCUGCCCUUGACUUUGGGAUAACUUCAGGAAACUGGGGCUAAUACCGGAUAGGAGCUCCUGCUGCAUGGUGGGGGUUGGAAAGUUUCGGCGGUUGGGGAUGGACUCGCGGCUUAUCGGCUUGUUGGUGGGGUAGUGGCUUACCAAGGCUUUGACGGGUAGCCGGCCUGAGAGGGUGACCGGCCACAUUGGGACUGAGAUACGGCCCAGACUCCUACGGGAGGCAGCAGUGGGGAAUAUUGCACAAUGGGCGGAAGCCUGAUGCAGCAACGCCGCGUGCGGGAUGACGGCCUUCGGGUUGUAAACCGCUUUCGCCUGUGACGAAGCGUGAGUGACGGUAAUGGGUAAAGAAGCACCGGCUAACUACGUGCCAGCAGCCGCGGUGAUACGUAGGGUGCGAGCGUUGUCCGGAUUUAUUGGGCGUAAAGGGCUCGUAGGUGGUUGAUCGCGUCGGAAGUGUAAUCUUGGGGCUUAACCCUGAGCGUGCUUUCGAUACGGGUUGACUUGAGGAAGGUAGGGGAGAAUGGAAUUCCUGGUGGAGCGGUGGAAUGCGCAGAUAUCAGGAGGAACACCAGUGGCGAAGGCGGUUCUCUGGGCCUUUCCUGACGCUGAGGAGCGAAAGCGUGGGGAGCGAACAGGCUUAGAUACCCUGGUAGUCCACGCUGUAAACGGUGGGUACUAGGUGUGGGGUCCAUUCCACGGGUUCCGUGCCGUAGCUAACGCUUUAAGUACCCCGCCUGGGGAGUACGGCCGCAAGGCUAAAACUCAAAGGAAUUGACGGGGCCCCGCACAAGCGGCGGAGCAUGCGGAUUAAUUCGAUGCAACGCGUAGAACCUUACCUGGGUUUGACUUGGAUCGGGAGUGCUCAGAGAUGGGUGUGCCUCUUUUGGGGUCGGUUCACAGGUGGUGCAUGGCUGUCGUCAGCUCGUGUCGUGAGAUGUUGGGUUAAGUCCCGCAACGAGCGCAACCCUUGUUCACUGUUGCCAGCACGUUAUGGUGGGGACUCAGUGGAGACCGCCGGGGUCAACUCGGAGGAAGGUGGGGAUGACGUCAAGUCAUCAUGCCCCUUAUGUCCAGGGCUUCACGCAUGCUACAAUGGCUGGUACAGAGAGUGGCGAGCCUGUGAGGGUGAGCGAAUCUCGGAAAGUCGGUCUCAGUUCGGAUUGGGGUCUGCAACUCGACCUCAUGAAGUCGGAGUCGCUAGUAAUCGCAGAUCAGCAACGCUGCGGUGAAUACGUUCCCGGGGCU